Molecule: non-coding RNA, 466 nt
Organism: Cinara cedri
Lineage: Eukaryota; Metazoa; Arthropoda; Insecta; Hemiptera; Aphididae
Source: the annotation of a GenBank genome assembly
AGUGGCCAAGAACGAGAGAGGGAGAAACAGCAGGAAAAAAAAAAUAAAGACCAGGGAAAGUAGUUUAUAAUAUGUAUACAUCUAAUUUCGGUGUUACAAUAAAUUGCACUCUGUACUUAAAACCCGGGUACUUUACACCCGGUAUACCGACGAACGUAUAUAAUUAUUAGGUACCUAUACCGACAAAUAUAAAUGAACAUUUAUAUUGAAAUAUAUGGCAAGUUUUAUGAGCGUGUAAACCAAUGGUUCCCAACGUUUUUCACAGAGGUGAGCAUUUAUCCCAGGGCGCGAAAUCUUCAGGUCGCAAAACGUACUGGUAUACAUAUAUCAGUAUUUUUACCGGUGGAUAUACAACACGUUUGGACGCCUCGCAGAUGUAUAAGGCCGUUAGAUUGACUGCCGAAAGGCGAUUCGGAAAUUUCUAACCUAACCUACGGUCAUCAUAAGACUUUUUUUCUAUUCAAUU